RNAcentral lists this ribosomal RNA (504 nucleotides) under uncultured bacterium. Its description in RNAcentral is "partial 16S ribosomal RNA". It matches the Rfam family "Bacterial small subunit ribosomal RNA", at positions 29 to 507 of the family's 1533-position model. The record is from RNAcentral.
ACGCACGCUGGCGGCGUGCCUAAUACAUGCAAGUAGAACGCACAGUUUAUACCGUAGCUUGCUACACCAUAGACUGUGAGUUGCGAACGGGUGAGUAACGCGUAGGUAACCUGCCUGGUAGCGGGGGAUAACUAUUGGAAACGAUAGCUAAUACCGCAUAAUAUUAAUUAUUGCAUGAUAAUUAAUUGAAAGGUGCAAUUGCACCACUACCAGAUGGACCUGCGUUGUAUUAGCUAGUAGGUGAGGUAACGGCUCACCUAGGCGACGAUACAUAGCCGACCUGAGAGGGUGAUCGGCCACACUGGGACUGAGACACGGCCCAGACUCCUACGGGAGGCAGCAGUAGGGAAUCUUCGGCAAUGGACGAAAGUCUGACCGAGCAACGCCGCGUGAGUGAAGAAGGGUUUCGGAUCGUAAAGCUCUGUUGUAAGAGAAGAACGGGUGUGAGAGUGGAAAGUUCACACUGUGACGGUAGCUUACCAGAAAGGGACGGCUAACUACGUG